AAAGGAUGGAAAAGGGAAAAAAGUUUAGUUAGUUUAAUAUCUGAUACAUCCCCCAUUGGGAGACUACAUAUUAAAUUGAUUUUUCAAACAGGGAGUCGGAAAUGGGGCUUGCUCCUUCUGCUCCACGCAUCAACCCGGUUCUUCCGCUCCAUGCAUCGACUCAGUGCCUCCGGGAACGGUGCAACACUU
Molecule: small nuclear RNA, 189 nt
Filed under: Oncorhynchus mykiss (rainbow trout)
Lineage: Eukaryota; Metazoa; Chordata; Actinopteri; Salmoniformes; Salmonidae
Description: U2 spliceosomal RNA
Rfam family: U2 spliceosomal RNA
About the family: U2 is a small nuclear RNA (snRNA) component of the spliceosome (involved in pre-mRNA splicing). Complementary binding between U2 snRNA (in an area lying towards the 5' end but 3' to hairpin I) and the branchpoint sequence (BPS) of the intron results the bulging out of an unpaired adenosine, on the BPS, which initiates a nucleophilic attack at the intronic 5' splice site, thus starting the first of two transesterification reactions that mediate splicing.
Source: Rfam by way of RNAcentral